AGUCUUCAAUUGCCUGAGGAUCUGAAAAGACAGAUGAUGUGGCAGACAUCUUCACACUUGAGAGUUCCCAUGAGGAAAGGAGUAUAUUUAUCCACAGCAGUUUGAUAAUUGCUCUCAUGGGUGCUACUGUGUGCCUACAGCAUCAACUACUCUAUCUCCAAUAGUCAGAAAUUGAAAUUAAAAUAUUUAAAGAAAUCAAGUUUAAAUGGAAUUAAAUGAGAAAUGUUUUCAAACAGCUUUUUAAAAAAAUAGGACCUUGAGGAGCUCAGUUGGUUUAGGAGAACUGAGCCUGGCAAGCCUCUUGAAGCCUUUUCUACUGUGUGUUUCUUUUUCAGUGACUAAAGAGCUAAUGGACUAAAGGACUAAGGACUAAAAAGACUAAAUGGACAUGGUUAGUCUUGGAGGCCAUCUUGGGAGUUUCUCAGUCCUUAGCUGAACUAUAGAAGUGUCCCUUAUAACACUUCUUAGAGGACAAAAUGACCACCAACAAGCAGAUUUGCUCAAGCUCUAGCUUUGCUUGCUGGAAAACCUGAAGGAAACUGU
RNAcentral lists this long non-coding RNA (543 nucleotides) under Monodelphis domestica (gray short-tailed opossum). Its description in RNAcentral is "lncRNA (ENSMODG00000036853.1)". The record is from RNAcentral. Lineage: Eukaryota; Metazoa; Chordata; Mammalia; Didelphimorphia; Didelphidae.